GCAGACACAUUCCAGCCAAUCAGCAGCAGACCCUCUCUCCCAGACCCUCCCACCUCCUGGACAGCAUCCAUUGUGAAGCUGCAUUCUUAGUGAGCUGUCCAGGAGGUGGGAGGAUCUGGGAGGGUCUGGGAGGGAGGGUCUGCUGCUGAUUGGCUGGAAUGUGUCUG
This is a non-coding RNA of Pelobates cultripes (western spadefoot toad), 167 nucleotides long. NCBI's taxonomy places the organism in Eukaryota, Metazoa, Chordata, Amphibia, Anura, Pelobatidae. The record is from the annotation of a GenBank genome assembly.